AAAGGAACUGCAGCAGGACCCUGUAGACCAGGGGUGGGGAACCCCCGGCCUCCGGGCCGUAUACGAGACCAUUUCUACCGGCCCGCAACGCAAUAAGAUUUUUAUAUUUUAUAUGUGCACGUAUACAGUGGGACCGUUCGCUAAACUCCGCGAGCUGCGAGUAGCAGCGGUAGCGUAUUUUUGCCUUUCGUGUCCUGAAAUUUCUUUCGUAACAAGAGGAAAUAUUUUCCCGUUUUCUGAGAUAAAACAGAUGAGUGAAUUAAUAGCCACGAAGCUGAAACCUCACGUGAACGUGCCUCGUAGCCGCCGCUGAGGCGCUCGCGCCGGACAACGUAAAAUUGUUUCAAAGUGUGAAUUUUUUUUCGUGAAUAACUACUUAACUAAGACAUAUAUUGUUAUGAUUCCAGUGGCUAACGGUAUGUUUUUAUGGUCAAGGAAUCUAAAUAUGUAGUCAAAGUAUAUGUGGGACUAAUAUUUAUGGUGGAAAUCACAAUAUGCCAGGAAUUGUUGCGCUUGGCGGAGGUCUGCGCUCUCCGAGUGCUUUCUAGUUGUUAUUAUUAUUGUCUUUAUCUUUCUUUCUUUUAAUUUAUUUUCUUGAUUAUCUUGUUGUAUUGCAGUUUUUGUGAGUAGAGGCCUCAAACAGGCCCUUACUGGUCUCUUGCUUCAACUCUGCACCUCUUUUUUUAUUGUUUUGUAUGAUCAUGAAAACAUAUUUUACUUGUUUGUCAUUUUAUUCUAUUUUUUUGGUGAUUUUAUAUGCAUGUGUGUUAAAUAAAUAAUUCAAACUCAAAUGCAGCAAUCAUGAGACUUAGUAACACAGUGGUUAUAGACUUUUUUUUUGUCUUUUUUUGCAUCCCUAGCUAUGUGUUCGUAAUAGUAUGGCCCUCGGAGGACUUUAUAAAAAUUGAAAUGGCCCUCGAUAUGAAAAAGGUUCCCCACCCCUGCUGUAGACAGAGCAAAAAGCAGCAAAAUGCCCAAAGCUUGCCUCUCCACGCCUGAUUUCUGACGCCAUGUUGAACAAUCAAGAAAGGAUGGCUAACACGCUUGAUAAAAUUGCCUCAACCCUGAUGACUAUAGCCAACACGCUUAAAGAAAUCAACAAGAAUGUAAAAAAAAUAAGAAUGUAAAAAAAAAAAAAUGUGUAAAAGCUGUGCUCUGAAACCGGUCUCUCUUAUUUUUUCUUUUUGAAAUGAGUCAAGACUGUUAGACUGAAAUUGUGACAAUAAUGCAUUUUAUUUACAAACGGGCAAUUAAUCGCGCUCGAACGUGAACGCCACAAUCCAGAGAGAGACGCUGAAAAUCAUCAGCACCGUCCCUGGGUAGGUGGUCAUCAGCGUUUUCCUACAGUCUGGCGCUAUCAUUGCGUCAGGAUGCACAUCCUCACGGGGUUGUGGCUCUGUGUCCAAGCACAUCCAGCGCCCCUUUAAAAUGCUGAUGGUGCGUUCAAUGGUGGAGCGACUGCGCGCAUGCAUCUGAUUGAAUAAAAUUUCCUGUGGAGUCUAAGGGUUGGUCAGUGGUGUCAACAACCAGGGAGCCAGGGCAUAUCCUUGAUCCCCUAAUAAAAUAAAUCAAGAUAAAAUCAAAUAAAAAGACAGUUUUGGCAUGGUUUCCAAUUUGGUUGAUUAAUGUUAAGUCAUUGGCACAUUUACGUAAUUUUAAAAUUCUCUGUAAAUCACCAAAAAUAGGAAAUAAAUAAAUAAAUAUGACAGAAUUAUCAUUGUAAUAUUGAAUUUUAUUGAACUGCACAAGAGAAGAAAACACAACCAUGCCAACAUGUCGGCACUGAAAUGUGCGUAAGAGUACUCCUGAGUGUUCGUAGGAUUUGUUCUUAUCUACGCAUAAAUCCAGGAUAAGAAGAAAUUAAUGAAUGCCACAAUCUUCGUAAAAUGUUCGUAAAUGGGACUUAAGAACAAAUUUGUUCGUAAGAACGUUUCGUGAAUGAGGCCCAUUCUGUUCAGCAAAGUCGACUUGCGCAGCCACACCUUCAGGCCCAACACACAAACACGGUGAUGUAAUCAUCCAGAAAUUUCCCUAUAACUUUUUUUCUAAACGCAUCCUGAUACACCUCAUUAUUCCCACGGUUGUAAAAUAGGGUGACAUGAUAGGGAUCAACUGGCGGGGCAAAAGGACCUAGCAUCGACAACCAGGGCCUCCAGCUCUGAAACAAUGCCACAACACCGACACCAGGUGAGGUCUCAGGCUCAAGUUCUCCCCAAUAAAUGUCCGCCCACACCCCCGGUUCUGGAAAGGGUGUCGGACUAAUCAGCAUUUGUCCGUUUCAUUCCUUGGUGUGAAAUACAGCAGUUCAAUUUCAUUUCAUUAGGAAAUUGCACCACCAGACCUUUGUCUCCACACAGAAUAGCUGCUCCUGUCCUCACCAGGAGAUCUCGUCCCAACAGGUUGAUAGGGCAAUGUGGUGAAAUUUAAAAAAAGGGUGCAACACAGUCUG
Molecule: long non-coding RNA, 2449 nt
Filed under: Takifugu rubripes (torafugu)
Lineage: Eukaryota; Metazoa; Chordata; Actinopteri; Tetraodontiformes; Tetraodontidae
Description: lncRNA (ENSTRUG00000027867.1)
Source: RNAcentral